Molecule: ribosomal RNA, 253 nt
Filed under: uncultured bacterium
Lineage: Bacteria
Description: partial 16S ribosomal RNA
Rfam family: Bacterial small subunit ribosomal RNA
Source: RNAcentral
UACGUAGGGGGCAAGCGUUGUCCGGAUUUAUUGGGCGUAAAGAGCGUGUAGGCGGCCUGAAAGGUCAGCUGUGAAAACUCGAGGCUCAACCUCGAGACGUCGGUUGAAACCAUCUGGCUAGAGUCCGGAAGAGGAGUGUGGAAUUCCCGGUGUAGCGGUGAAAUGCGCAGAUAUCGGGAAGAACACCCGUGGCGAAGGCGGCACUCUGGGACGGUACUGACUCUGAGACGCGAAAGCGUGGGGAGCAAACAGG